UGUGUUCGCUUGUUUGUUUGCCAGAUGACCCUGAGAUAGAAGCACAACAAUGGACAGAGGUGAAUGGACAGGUAUACGGACACGUUCUGCUGAGAUUUAUCUUUCCUCCCUUCUACAAUGGUUAUGAGAAGUUAUGUUCUAAACUAUAUCCGGGGCCAUUUCCUGUUGUGAAUACCAGAGGAUAUGUCAACCACUUCUACAAGGGAAGAAUAUCGAGAACGGAAUACAACGGUGAGAUGUACGUUAUGAUAUGGAACUUAAAACCUGUGGACGCUGGCGACUACAGGUGUGUUGUCAGCAGUGUGAAUCAUAUCUACUCUGACUUUCACCUCCACAUUGGUAAGAACCCUCGUAAAUGAAUCAAACCAUCUUUUAAAUGAAGUAAAGAACUAUUUUGUUCUAUUCUAGUAACUGCUAUUAGAAACUGGAAUUUCAUACUGUAGGUAAACCAAUGUGUUGAGGCCAAGGAAAUCUGUAAGCAUUGUACAGUAGCAGGAAGAUUACAUGUAUUUAUUUUAUUUAACCUUUAUUUAACUAGGCAAGUCAGUUUAAGAACAAAUUCUUAUUUACAAUGACGGCCUACGCUAAGUCAACUUGUAAAAGAACAGAUCGCUGUGUUGAAAUGAGUGCUUAUUCGGUCUCUGUUUAGAUAGUGGUCGACGUAGCGGUCUUGUACCCCCUCGACCUCGUGUCAGAACAACCAUCAGACCCUCCAUCUCAUCAUCAUCCUCCUCAGACACCUCUGGGCCUGUUUUCCCCAGUGUUUCCUGGAGUGUUGGUAUACCACUGGCUGCAGGUCUCUGCAUCACGAUGGGGAUCAUUAUCUGUUCAAUCAUAGUUGCUGUGGUUCAUCGCAAAGUCAGGGCAAAAAAGAAAUGUGGAGCAACGUCCAGUGACUCAGCAGCCCACAUCGUCUCACAUGUCCCUCAAGAGGAGAGCAGUAUUGUCUACACCACAGUGAACUUCAAACCUCAUGAGAACCAUACCACAGAGCUGUAUGCUAACCUACAGACACUCAGCAGCCCCAGAGGUCAUGACCCUGACACACACAGAGAGCCUGCUGGGACGGUGGUGUACUCCACACUGGCUAGCAACCAAUGCUGAACCGGAUUGUUACGUAUCUGUAUCUUUCUUAGCCUGGUGGUCACAGAUCUGUUUGUGCUGUCUUGAUAUGCUAUCAUGACCAGGCUAUCUGUAUAAUCCUUAGUUGCUACAUAUUUAACAUUUUUUAUUAAUUUUAUUAACUUAUAAAUGCCU
Molecule: long non-coding RNA, 1257 nt
Organism: Salvelinus namaycush (lake trout)
Lineage: Eukaryota; Metazoa; Chordata; Actinopteri; Salmoniformes; Salmonidae
Exons: 4
Source: RefSeq, a predicted model, not a curated record